GGGCGUUUGGUCUAGGGGUAUGAUUUUCGUUUCGCAUUGCAAUGUGCAAUUAUGAAAGGUCGUGGGUUCAAUUCCCACAACGUCCA
Non-coding RNA from Xylogone sp. PMI_703, 86 nucleotides. NCBI's taxonomy places the organism in Eukaryota, Fungi, Ascomycota, Leotiomycetes. The record is from the annotation of a GenBank genome assembly.